GGGUCAGUAGGUUGGUCGUGCCACCGGUACGUACUGGUCUCACCGAUUCCUCCCUCCUGAAGAACCGUAAUGCCAUUAAUUUGGUGUUGCGGGGAAACAGGACUGUUACUUUGAAAAAAUUAGAGUGUUUAAAGCAAGCUAACGCUUGAAUACAUUAGCAUGGAAUAAUGAAAUAGGACGAUCGAUCCUAUUUUGUUGGUUUCUAGGAUUGACGUA
This 216-nucleotide ribosomal RNA is filed under the name Glomeromycotina sp. RNAcentral describes it as "partial small subunit ribosomal RNA". The stretch from base 75 to 216 matches the Rfam family "Eukaryotic small subunit ribosomal RNA", at positions 721 to 864 of the family's 1831-position model. The record is from RNAcentral. Lineage: Eukaryota; Fungi; Glomeromycota.